GCGGGCGUCGUCGUCUCGGCCCUGCAGCCGCGCCAGGAGUCCGCGCUGCACAAAGCUCUGGCGGGCGGCGCGGCCCCGGCCGCCGCUCAGCUCCACCGCGCGUUCCAGAUCCUCCAGGGCGCCUGCGGGACCGACGAGACGGGCGGGGCGGGGGUCAGCGGAGGCCAGGGCGGCCUUGCCCGAGCCCCAGCCCACCUGCGGCCGCGCGGAUCACCGUGGUUCUUGCGGCUCCCGGGCGUGGCCAUUUACAACCCGCCUCGCACCUGCUAGAGAAAAGACCCCGGCCAUGGAUGGGAGACCUAGGACAAAGAUGGAAAAGAGUGCUUGGCACCAGACAGCUGCUCAAUGAGGAACACAACUGCAUCAUGGAGAAUCCCCAGCAUCCUCAAACCGUUAACACCUAGAAGAAUCAGAAGCACCAGGGAAGUGAGGAGCGCAGUCAACAGGAAACAGCAUGGUCCUACAGAAAUGCCUAUGCUAUAGUCACUCUGCCAGAGGCUGCUCCAGGGUGAAUUAUAGUACAUAUUAGCUCGAAAUUAGCAUCAGAUAGCCAUUAAAAUGAUGCUGAUACAGAUCUAUCAAUAUGGAAAAUGUUUGUGAUAGACGGCUAAGUGAAAAAAGCAUGCCACCAA
This 632-nucleotide long non-coding RNA is filed under the name Homo sapiens (human). Its description in RNAcentral is "non-protein coding lnc-IFT46-1:10". The record is from RNAcentral. Lineage: Eukaryota; Metazoa; Chordata; Mammalia; Primates; Hominidae.